GGUAAAGUAGUUAAUAGCAAAGGUUUUGAUGUCCUUAGACUCAGGUUCAAGCCUGGCUUUGCCU
RNAcentral lists this transfer RNA (64 nucleotides) under Loxodonta africana (African savanna elephant). It matches the Rfam family "tRNA". Rfam says of the family: Transfer RNA (tRNA) molecules are approximately 80 nucleotides in length. Their secondary structure includes four short double-helical elements and three loops (D, anti-codon, and T loops). Lineage: Eukaryota; Metazoa; Chordata; Mammalia; Proboscidea; Elephantidae. The record is from Rfam by way of RNAcentral.